UUAGUGGCAGCAGGGAUAGCUGAACGUUUUGAUAUAAGAUUUGUGUAGGUGGGCCUGAAAAUAAGGGAGUGGUGGCAGUUUAGAAAUCAUGUCCUGAUUUUUCAGCUUUUGCCAGCUCCCACUCUAGCUUUGCCAUUCAUUACUAUGGGACAAAUUGCGCCACAAAAACGACGAUAUUCCGUGAACCAUUCGGCGAAACGUUCCACAAAGUAAUAGCAAUCCGAUCGGGAACAAUCUGCACGUUU
RNAcentral lists this long non-coding RNA (245 nucleotides) under Pelobates cultripes (western spadefoot toad). Lineage: Eukaryota; Metazoa; Chordata; Amphibia; Anura; Pelobatidae. The record is from RNAcentral.